AGUUAUCUGAACCUUCGGGGAACGAUAACGGCGUCGAGCGGCGGACGGGUGAGUAAUGCCUAGGAAAUUGCCCUGAUGUGGGGGAUAACCAUUGGAAACGAUGGCUAAUACCGCAUAAUACCUUCGGGUCAAAGAGGGGGACCUUCGGGCCUCUCGCGUCAGGAUAUGCCUAGGUGGGAUUAGCUAGUUGGUGAGGUAAUGGCUCACCAAGGCGACGAUCCCUAGCUGGUCUGAGAGGAUGAUCAGCCACACUGGAACUGAGACACGGUCCAGACUCCUACGGGAGGCAGCAGUGGGGAAUAUUGCACAAUGGGCGCAAGCCUGAUGCAGCCAUGCCGCGUGUGUGAAGAAGGCCUUCGGGUUGUAAAGCACUUUCAGUCGUGAGGAA
This 388-nucleotide ribosomal RNA is filed under the name Vibrio harveyi. RNAcentral describes it as "bacterial SSU rRNA". It matches the Rfam family "Bacterial small subunit ribosomal RNA", at positions 60 to 449 of the family's 1533-position model. The record is from RNAcentral. Lineage: Bacteria; Pseudomonadati; Pseudomonadota; Gammaproteobacteria; Vibrionales; Vibrionaceae.